CGAUGUCACAGGAGCGAUGUCGUACUGACUCGAGCAGUUUAAGUGGAGCAGCAGUUGCAUACGAUGCCCCAGGCACUGCUAGGUCCACAGCGUAUUCCGCGUACGUUCCUGCAUCAGAGUUUUUCACCGACACAUGCCACACCGGAUAUGCUCCAUACUUGUCUGAUUGUACUAUUCAACAGCUGAACGGUAUGAAAACUGCUACAAGCACAAGGGCUUGCAUGAAUACACAUUGAUUGGUUUUGAUGUGCCAGUGGGUGGACGCAGUUUUCUUCGGACCAUGUAUUUAUCACAGCACGGCUGUGCUCUUUCAGAAAGCCCUGGACAGCCAACUGUACGAAUGCAGCAGCGACAUUCCACUCAGGGAAGGGACAGAGGGAGCACUUCAAAGUUUCACGCCACUGGUAGCAAUGCGGGGUGUACAGAGCACUUCCCACGGUCUGAGUCGUCUGGCAACUGUAGUGUGAGGCCCGGGUUUGGUACUACAGAACCUCGCCCUGAUCCUACAGCAUCAAGGGGU
Molecule: long non-coding RNA, 520 nt
Organism: Ornithodoros turicata
Lineage: Eukaryota; Metazoa; Arthropoda; Arachnida; Ixodida; Argasidae
Exons: 3
Source: RefSeq, a predicted model, not a curated record